Molecule: long non-coding RNA, 536 nt
Filed under: Pan troglodytes (chimpanzee)
Lineage: Eukaryota; Metazoa; Chordata; Mammalia; Primates; Hominidae
Description: long non-coding RNA NONPTRT012708
Source: RNAcentral
CAGAGUCUCACUCUGUCACCCAGGCCAGAGUUCAGUUGCACGAUCUUGGCUCACUGCAUCCUUCACCUCCUGGGCUCAAGAGAUACUCCUGAAGCAGGGCAUUUCCCUGACCCUUUCAUGGGACUCGUGACAGGGGUGCCCCAUUUACUCAGCCCACUGCUCUCAACUCCUCGAGGGAGGGAAUGCGCAACUGAACAAGGCAGGAACUGGAGUACAUGAGUGCUGGAACCAGUGGCCUCUUUGGUGCCAGAAGGAGUGAACUCACCCACUCUGACCUGCUGUGUUCCACACCUUGCAGGAGAGAGCAUGCAGGAAAAAUCAGCUUACAGGAACGAAUUGAAGGAUGAUAAAUGCAGAGGAUUUUAUUGCCAAGGAAAGUGGCUCUCAGCAGGAAGGGCAGCUGGGAAGGAGAUGUAGCAGGAAGGUUUCUGGCUGGACUCUUUUCCAAAGUUGCACUGUCAAGCUGUCUCUCUGAAAUCAAGCUGCUUCUCUCCAACGUCCAACCGUAGUCUCUGAUGCCCAGCUGCUGCUUCUCU